UUUUUUUUUUUUCUUUUUAGGGUCACACCUGCAGCAUAUGGAAGUUCCCAGGCUAGGGGUUGAAUUGGAGCAACAGCUUCCAGCCUGCACCACAGCCACAGCAACAACGCCAGAUUCAAGCUGCAUCUGCAACCUGGUAUCUAUUUUUAUCCAAAGCUAAGAGCAAGACCUGAACAGACAACAUUUAUUUUAACUUUAGCAGUUCUUGCUAGAGAGAUGGUUUUUUUCCAGUCUAAUAUCUUCUUAAUUUCUCAAGAAAUUUUGCAUGUCUAAAGGCACUCACUAGGGAAGGCCUGUAGGCUGUUUCCAAGAGUCCUCACAGAAUAACACUCAUCUUGGCAAUUCAUCAGGAAUUGGAGUUUGGGUUUCAGAUUACAAACCUAAAAUCUUGAUAGCAUAUUAAAAAUGGACUCUGCUUGGAGAGCCUGCUGACAAUAAUACAAACUCACAUGUGUAAUCAAAUCCUUGUUAUUUUAUAAUGAGAAGAAUAAUCUUGCAAAUCAAAAUUCUUACACAUAUUUAAUGCAUUAAAUUCAGAGUUGUUAGGGAAAACCAUUUGUAAUCAAGAAUUUGGAAUGAGCAUGGAAUCAAAGCAAAGGGAGUUGUGUCUGAAAAAUAUAAUUAGAAAAAAAUCUCCUCUCAACUCAGAAGAACUCACCAUGAAGGUGGAAGAGAAAGAAGACAAUUUGAUUAUUGAAUAAGCAUUAAUCAGCAAUGUGUUGCACAUCACAGGCAAUCUGCUAAAGAGAUUGCAAAUACAAAAAGAAAUCUCACCCUUUCGUAUAGCCAAGCAGGUAUAAUUCCUUACACACCUGUUCUCAGGAUGAACAAUAGCUAGUUCUUUUUUUCACUUGUUAAAAUUUUAUUGAAGUAUAGUUAAUUUACAAUGCUGUGAUCAUUUCUGCUGUACAACAAAGUGAUUCAGUUAUACAUGUACACAUGUCCAUUCUCUUUCAGAUUUUUUCUUAAGUAAGAGAAUUUGGCACCAUUGGUUACACAUAGUUCAUCCUCAAUUCACUUGGUAAUUGGGGUGACCAUCUGUGUUAGCUAAUUGACUUUACCCAAAAGAAAAAUAAAUGUCUUAUGUCUUUAGGACAGGAGGUACUUAUGCAACUUGGAGUGUGACUCCCAUUGAUGUUAGGCUAUGCCUCUUCCGCAGAAACCAGGAGAUAGGAAUGCUAUCUUUCGUGAUUAUUACUUUUCAAAGACAUGGGCCCCCAGGUCCUUGAGAAAGAUAUUCCUGGGUCUUUAAGCUGGCAAAGGCUAAUUUAACUUUUAAAAAGACUUAGGUGAGGGGAGAGAUGGGGGGAAGUGGCCAGGAUAGUGGAGUGAGAAGACCCUGGUCUCUCCUCCUCCCACAGGUACACCAAAAUUGCAGCUAUUUACAGAGCAACUAUCCAUGGUAACAAUGUGAAAACUAGCAGAAAAGACCUUCUACAACUGAAGAUAUAAGGAAGGAACCACAAUGAGAUGAAGGAGGAGGGGUGAAGACGCAGCAUAGACAAGACCCAUACCACCAGGUAGGAGACCUAUAAACAGAAGGAUAAUUACAAUUGUAGAGGUUCUCCCUUGGAGUGAGGGGUCCAAGCCCCACAAUGGGCUCCCCAGCCCAGGGGGUCCUAUACCAAGAAGAUGAGCAAAGCCAGUGGAACUUACUUUCAGGGGAGUAAGAAGACGGUGGCAAAUGGAGACUCUACUCCUAAAGGCCCACACAAAAUCUCACACACUCUGAGACCUAUGACAGAAGCAGUCGUUUGAAAGGAGCAUGGUCAGACUUACCUGCUGAUCUUGAGAGCCUCCUGGAGAGGCAGGAGGCAACUAAAACUCACUCUGGGGAUGUAGACUCUGGCAGCAUCUAUUUUGGAGAGCUCAUCCCACCACA
This 1882-nucleotide long non-coding RNA is filed under the name Sus scrofa (pig). RNAcentral describes it as "lncRNA (ENSSSCG00060011582.1)". Lineage: Eukaryota; Metazoa; Chordata; Mammalia; Artiodactyla; Suidae. The record is from RNAcentral.